RNAcentral lists this ribosomal RNA (253 nucleotides) under uncultured bacterium. RNAcentral's name for it is "partial 16S ribosomal RNA". It matches the Rfam family "Bacterial small subunit ribosomal RNA", at positions 524 to 776 of the family's 1533-position model. The record is from RNAcentral.
GACGCACCGUGCAAACGUUAUUCGGAAUCACUGGGCAUAAAGGGCGCGUAGGCGGCUUUCUAAGUCAGGGGUGAAAUCCGGCAGCUCAACUGUCGCAGUGCCUUUGAUACUGGAGAGCUCGAGGGAGGUAGGGGUCUGUGGAACUUCCGGUGGAGCGGUGAAAUGCGUUGAUAUCGGAAGGAACGCCGGUGGCGAAAGCGACGGACUGGAUCUCUUCUGACGCUGAGGCGCGAAAGCCAGGGGAGCAAACGGG